CCUACGGAUGGCUGCAGUGAGGAAUAUUGGUCAAUGGGCGCAGGCCUGAACCAGCCAAGUCGCGUGAGGGAAGACUGCCCUAUGGGUUGUACACCUCUUUUAUAAGGGAAGAAUAAUGACUACGUGUAGUCAUAUGCCCGUACCUUAUGAAUAAGCAUCGGCUAACUCCGUGCCAGCAGCCGCGGUAAUACGGAGGAUGCGAGCGUUAUCCGGAUUUAUUGGGUUUAAAGGGUGCGUAGGCGGUAUUUUAAGUUAGUGGUAACACGUCGGGGCUUCACCUUGAUUGGCCAUUAAAACUGGAGUACUAGAGUACAGACGAGGUAGGCGGAAUAAGUUAAGUAGCGGUGAAAUGCUUAGAUAUAACUUAGAACCCCGAUAGCGAAGGCAGCUUACCAGACUGUUACUGACGCUGAAGCACGAGAGCGUGGGUAGCGAACAGGAUUAGAUACCCCAGUAGUC
This 459-nucleotide ribosomal RNA is filed under the name uncultured bacterium. RNAcentral describes it as "partial 16S ribosomal RNA". It matches the Rfam family "Bacterial small subunit ribosomal RNA", at positions 338 to 795 of the family's 1533-position model. The record is from RNAcentral.